Molecule: long non-coding RNA, 774 nt
Organism: Carassius auratus (goldfish)
Lineage: Eukaryota; Metazoa; Chordata; Actinopteri; Cypriniformes; Cyprinidae
Exons: 3
Source: RefSeq, a predicted model, not a curated record
AUCACCACACACACCUGAGUCAGGUAUAGCGUUAAGGCAAACGGUGUCUAGACGGUUUUGUCUGCAGGGCGUCUUCAGUACAUCAGAUGUUUUGUAACGUUUGGCACAGGAGUACAAGGACUUUAUUGCAUGCUUGCAGUUGCCAGUGUGUGCAUAAGAUAUUGCAAUAGUCAGAAGAUUUAUGUCUUUCACAAUCCUGCACACAGCAGCAUAACUGCCAGAUCUCUCUAGAGUGAGGACAAGUGUUUGUCAAGGUGAGAAAAGGGGAAAAAAUGCAUUAAGGAGCAGCCACCUACAUACACUUUAAUCAAGCAGGAUUCCAGAAACAAAAGCAGUGAACAGUGUCCUGACAGUACAAACUUCUUUUCUUUGUCAAUGGAGCUGACAGAAGAUGCAGUCAGACUGACGGACGUCUCCAGAAGGAAACGAGUCGGGGAACACAUACCAGCACGUAACAAAUCUGCAAUCUCUUUGUAGAGUUAUGUUCCAUAAAAUAUAAACAACUUUAUCAUCUGGUUCUCACACCAUCUGUGUGAUGUCUGCACUGUACGUCAUUUAUUGAUCUUUUUAUGAUACGCAAAAUUAAGUUGGAUUAUUUUACUUGAGUCGUGUGUGUGAUUUCUUGCGCAUGAUCAAUGCAAGUCAGUGGACUCUAGAAUGUCUCCUUUCGUGUUCCAUAGUAACAAUCAGUUUUGGAAAGAUAAGCAAAUAAUGUAAACGAUGACUUUUUUGGUUGAACCAUCUGUUUAGUCUUGUCCAAAAGUGUAUACUGCA